Molecule: ribosomal RNA, 410 nt
Filed under: uncultured bacterium
Lineage: Bacteria
Description: bacterial SSU rRNA
Rfam family: Bacterial small subunit ribosomal RNA
Source: RNAcentral
AAUCAACGCUGGCGGCGUGCCUCAGACAUGCAAGUCGAACGAUUAAAGCUCUCUUCGGAGAGUGUAUAGAGUGGCGCACGGGUGAGUAACACGUAAGUAAUCUACCUUUGAGUGGGGAAUAACGUCCGGAAACGGACGCUAAUACCGCAUAAUGCAGCGGCAUCGCAAGAUGACAGUUGUUAAAGAUUUAUCGCUUGAAGAGGAGCUUGCGGCAGAUAGCUAGUUGGUAAGGUAAUGGCUUACCAAGGCUACGAUCUGUAACCGGUCUAAGAGGACGGUCGGUCACACUGACACUGAAUAACGGGUCAGACCCCUACGGGAGGCAGCAGUCGGGAAUUUGGGCAAUGGGCGAAAGCCUGACCCAGCAACGCCGCGUGGGUGAAGAAGGCCUCGGUUGGUAAGUACCGUUU